CGCAGGAAAAGAAACUAACCAGGAUUCCCUUAGUAGCGGCGAGCGAAGCGGGAAAAGCCCAAUAUGAAAAGCCUUUUUUGGCGUUGUAUUUUGAGCGUCCUUGAGGUGUCAGUUCAGGAAAGUGUGCAUGAAAAUGCCCGCCGUGGAGGGUUAAAGCCCCGUCCAUCCUGGACACGACAUCCUCGUACACGGACGUUUCAGUCGAGUCGGGUAGCUUGAGAAUGCUGCCCUAAGCGGUGAUAAAUCUCAUCGAAGGCUAAAUACUGGUGGGAGACCGAUAGUGAACAAGUACCGUGAGGGAAAGUUGACAAGCACUUUGAAAAGAGGGUGAAAAGAACCUGAAACCGUUACGGGGGAAGCGGAUUGCGUUGUAUUGAAAAGGGGCGUACUGUUCAGCAUAAAUUCUAUUUGUGUGUAGUCAGUGCGUUUCUAACCCGUCGUGGGCUUUGCACGGUCGAUUUUGGGCUGUGUGUGGCUGAGGUAUCCCCAUUUUUUUGGGUUGAUGACGAUGGGGCGCCAACGCGAUACGACCCGUCUUGAAACACGGACCAAGGAGUCCAGCAUGGCUGCGAGUCAAAGGGUGGUAAAACCUGAGGGCGCAGUGAAAGCAAUUGUUGCAAAACGUUGCAGUUUGAGGCGGCCUAGGAUCGUUGAUCCUAGGUCCGACCUAGAGCAGUUAUGCUGGUACCCGAAAGAUGGUGAACUAUGCUUGAGUAGGGUGAAGCCAGAGGAAACUCUGGUGGAAGCUCGUAGCGAUGCUGACGUGCAAAUCGCUCGUCUAACUCGGGUAUAGGGGCGGAAGACUAAUCGAACCAUCUAGUAGCUGGUUUCCUCCGAAGUUUCUCUCAGGAUAGCAGGCCGACGAAAUUCUAUGUUGUUGUGUGUGGUAAAGCGAAUGAUUAGCGUAUUUGGGGGCAAUUAGCUUUCAGACGAUUCUCAAACUUUAAAUACGCACGGAUGUUGCUGCUUUUUUUGAGCGGCAUCGUCAAAAACGUCGGCCUUGUGGGCCACUUUUGGUAAGCAGAACUGGCGAUACGGGAUGAACCGUAAGCGUGGUUAAGGCGCCAAAUUGUCCGCUUAUAGAUCCCAAAAAAGGUGUUGAUUCAUCGAGACAGCAGGACGGUGGCCAUGGAAGUCGGAAUCCGCUAAGGAGUGUGUAACAACUCACCUGCCGAAUGAAUUAGCCCUGAAAAUGGAUGGCGCUGAAGCGGGCAGCCGACACCACGUCGUCUGACCAAAGUGGAUAUCAGAUGAGUAGGAGGACGUGGCGGUCGUAUCGAAGCGUGCGUGCGAACGUGCGUGGAACGGCCGCUAGUGCAGAUCUUGGUGGUAGUAGCAAAUAUUCAAACGUGAACCUUGAAGGGCGAAGCGGGGAAGGGUUCCACGCGAACAUUGAUUGAGCGUGGGUAAGUCGUUCCUAAGCCGAGUGGCAAUAGCUAAUUAUCGAGCGAAAGGGAAGUAGGUUGAUAUUCCUACACACGGAUGUGGAUGCGGUGACGCACUACUGAGGCGAUGACGUCGGCGAUGGCGCUAGGCAGAGUUUUCUUUUCUGUUUAACCGAACCUAGCACGCUGUGUGGAAUCCGCUUGUCGGGAGAAACACGCGUGUUUGGGCAGAGCGCUGGGAUUUUUCCAGCGUCUAGCUCGCCAUCGACGGCCCUUGAAAAAUCGUCUGCUGGCCAAACCAUCUUUUUGUGUUUGGUGUGAAAAUUCCACGCCGUAACGUACCGAUAACCGCAUCAGGUCCCCAAGGUGAACAGCCUCUGCUCGAUAUGGAAAAUGCAGGUAAGGGAAGUCGGCAAAUUAGACCCGUAACUUUGGGAAAAGGGUUGGCUCUAGUGCUGCGUGGGAGCGGUUGCCGAACUGUGAGGACUGCUCUGGCUGGCUAGGAUGCGGCGCGGGGCAACCUGUGCUGUUUCUAGGUCGGAAAGGCGGUAUUUGCUUUCGAUGACGCCCACAGCAUGCAGCAAACUAGAACUGCAACGGGCAAAGGGAAUCCGACUGUUUAAUUAAAACAAAGCAUUGCGAAGGCCGAGGCCGGUGUUUACGCAAU
This 2052-nucleotide ribosomal RNA is filed under the name Phycodrys sp. 1NB. RNAcentral's name for it is "eukaryotic LSU rRNA". It matches the Rfam family "Eukaryotic large subunit ribosomal RNA", at positions 51 to 2190 of the family's 3401-position model. The record is from RNAcentral. Lineage: Eukaryota; Rhodophyta; Florideophyceae; Ceramiales; Delesseriaceae.